GUGGGUUACUUGCCAUUAAUUUGUAUACCCCUUCCAAAUUUAUUUCUCCUGGUUUAAUGCCUCAAAUUGCAAGUAGGGGGGAUGAAAUUACACUGUAAAAAAAUUUGGGUCCAGAAUUUUAAAGAAAAGUAGUGAUUUGGUCCAGCUGAAAAAGGUUGAAAAUUAGCACUUCGGAAGCUGUCAAAAGAUUUCAAGACGCCCUAAACAUAAAAUUGUCCAUAUUUUGAGUUAGAGCCGAUGAAGUUUUCUAUAAUUUUGAUAUAAUUUGUCCCAAAAGUAGUACAACACACUGUAAAAGUUUCUUUGAGAAAGCGCAGGUGGGAUUUUUUUAAUUUUCAUUUAUGUUCUAAAAGAAAUGCACUACGAAAUAAUUGUGUUCUCGGAC
Molecule: long non-coding RNA, 385 nt
Filed under: Mytilus galloprovincialis (Mediterranean mussel)
Lineage: Eukaryota; Metazoa; Mollusca; Bivalvia; Mytilida; Mytilidae
Source: RNAcentral